Molecule: long non-coding RNA, 717 nt
Filed under: Olea europaea subsp. europaea
Lineage: Eukaryota; Viridiplantae; Streptophyta; Magnoliopsida; Lamiales; Oleaceae
Source: RNAcentral
CCCACCCCAACCUAAAUGUCGCACUAUCAAAUUGAAAAUAAGCAAACCACCAACAACAAAAUGAUCACAACAAUCACUAACGUUGCAAGGUUAAAGAACUCCCACCACCAAUUUCUUCACCACAUUUAACCCAACUCCAUUUUAUCUACCAGAUAAAUCAACUGAAAACAAAACUUGAAGUGCCUAUAGUACUCUAUGCAAAAAUCAAUCAAGCCGUAGGUUUCUGAAGAGAAGAGCCAAGCAAAAAUUAUACUGAGCACAUGAUCAAAUGUUUUAAAAAGAUAUUCACUAUGGUUUCAAGCCCAGCUACUGUUCUGAGCUUCUAACAUUAAGGAUGUGAUUUGGCAAGGGUUAACAACAUUUUUAAAAUCUAGGAACUUGAUUUCUUUUACAGCUUUACAAAAUCAGAUCUGAAAUUUCCUCUGGCACUGGUUAGGCCGACGACUGUAGUGUGCUGAGACGCACACAGAGCCGCUGCUGUGGCAUCGACUGUAGCACACGAAGACACGGGCGCCAGCGUAAUAGCUGUAGUGACUUCGCCCUGAGGCUCGACGACGUCUUCCAAUAGCGUCUUCUCUUCUUCCACCAACGAUUUUCCGACGAUGUCUUCUACGUGAGAGAGAGAAUGAGAUGAGAGAUAAGAUAGAAAUGAAAUAAUUAGAGUUUCAAAGCGAAAUUUGAUGAGGUAGAAUGGGGUGUGGAUGCAUAGGUAGGUAG